Molecule: non-coding RNA, 44 nt
Submitted as: unclassified sequences
Source: Rfam
GCGGUGGAAACCGCGGGAUGUUCCGCUCUGCGGAGAACCACAAA